UGUUUGCUUCAAGCUAACAAGGUGCCUUCUGUUUCCCUCGUGCACUUCCACAUCAGAAACACUGCUGCUUACAGAAGAGGGAAAGGAGAAAUAGUUUCUCUAAUCCUCCUCAGGUUUGCUGUAAAUUUAAUUUCAACAGCCUACCCACUCAAUCUGCUUGAAGACCUAGUGCAGCUGGAAACUACUCAGUCACUGAGGAAGAUGACAGCAUUGACUUCUCAUCAUCAUAAAGUCUGGUGUAAGAUUCAUAUCAAAUUCCAGUCAAGUCUUCAAAAAAUGAGGUUACAUGUCUUCCCAAUGUUCAGCCACAGUGUCGGACAAAAAAGGCAAAAUACACAAUAACAUCACAGAACUAUAUUGCAUUCUUGUCCACAUUCUGACAGGAGUUGUGGUUACCACUUUCAUUCGAUGAAAAGUGCUGCGGUAUCCACUCUGAGCUACCUUAGCAUUUACCUGGUUUUCAGGGAUCAGAUUCUUCUGAAGGUUGAAGCUAAGUAUCGAGUCAUGAUCAACAGAUUUACCAUUCAAUUUUUUGAUCAGUACGUGUUUUUCCAGAGCAUGGGUGAUUAGGGAUGCACUAAAGUAUUGACUGCUUUGUUAAAGCUUUCAAAUUCAGUUUUUUUUAACGUUAUUGAUCCAAGGCUGAGAAUAGUACACAGACCUUGGCAAAAUGGCCAAAAAUAACAGCUACUGCCUGAACUGCUUCUAGUGGUGAACUGAUACAGGAUUUAAUCAUAAGGAUAAUUGAUGUCUCCAAGUGGAUCUGAAAAUAAGACUAUUUCCAAUUUCCUAAAUUUUACAGUACACACAUGGAAGCUCUGCCUUUCCAGAGGAAUACAGACACUGUGCAAUAUGGAAUAGAUAACAGUUGGUGCUACCAAGUGCAAGAAACAUUGAAGCAAAAAUAUGAAGGGUAGCUACUAAACUCCCAUUCAUUACAUUUUUAAUGGAUCCAAGAACUCUGAAGACAGCAAAACAAUAAUUACUAACAAUACAUUUGUAACAUGCUGAUCAACUACAUAUGUACACAAAAUGGGAAAAGCAGUCCUCUCUGUUAUCUCUUGCGUGCCAUCAAGGGAACACAAAAUGUAAAUAUUCAAUUCUAACAGAUGUCAAACCUCAUGAAUAUAUCAAUUUUCAUCCCUGAACAGAUAUUUUUAACAGCCCAGUGGGAGUGUACACAUUUAAAAAAAAAAUCCACAUGUUCCAAAACUAAGAACAUUUCUUAUUUGUAAGAGGACCACUGCAUUAGAAAGAUUAUUACAAGAAAAUACUCAUGGGAGAUGUCAAGCUUUCCUUUGUAAUUAAAUUUUAUUUGAAACUGAAACAAAAGACUUCCUAAAAGAGAUGCUUGUAAAGCUUUCAGAACAGUUUUCACUCCCAACAGCCAUGCAAGAUUUAGAAAACAUUUACAAUAAUUGACUUUGUUCAAAAGCAGAGAACUAUUUUGGUUCUUCCUUUCCAGAAAAAAAAAAUAAAAAAUCAGUGUAAUUAGACA
RNAcentral lists this long non-coding RNA (1498 nucleotides) under Parus major (Great Tit). RNAcentral describes it as "lncRNA (ENSPMJG00000000039.1)". Lineage: Eukaryota; Metazoa; Chordata; Aves; Passeriformes; Paridae. The record is from RNAcentral.